CUACGGGGCGCUGCAGUGAGGAAUAUUGCACAAUGGGGGGAACCCUGAUGCAGCAACGCCGCGUGGAGGAUGACGCAUUUCGGUGUGUAAACUCCUUUUAUAUGUCAAGAAAAUGACGGUAGCAUAUGAAUAAGCACCGGCUAACUCCGUGCCAGCAGCCGCGGUAAUACGGAGGGUGCAAGCGUUACUCGGAAUCACUGGGCGUAAAGGACGCGUAGGCGGGUUGGAAAGUCAGGUGUGAAAUCCUACAGCUUAACUGUAGAACUGCACUUGAAACUUCUAAUCUAGAGUAUGGGAGGGGGAGAUGGAAUUAGUGGUGUAGGGGUAUAAUCCGUAGAUAUCACUAGGAAUACCUAAAGCGAAGGCGAUCUCCUGGAACAUUACUGACGCUAAGGCGUGAAAGCGUGGGGAGCAAACAGGAUUAGAUACCCCCGUGUC
Molecule: ribosomal RNA, 438 nt
Filed under: uncultured bacterium
Lineage: Bacteria
Description: partial 16S ribosomal RNA
Rfam family: Bacterial small subunit ribosomal RNA
Source: RNAcentral